AUUCUGGCUCAGGAUGAACGCUAGCGGCAGGCUUAACACAUGCAAGUCGAGGGGCAUCGGGAGUAGCAAUACUUGCCGGCGACCGGCGCAAGGGUGCGUAACGCGUGAGCAACAUGCCCGUAUCAGGGGGAUAAUCCAUGGAAACGUGGUCUAAUACCCCAUAGUAAUUAUGUAAGGCAUCUUAUAUAAUUUAAAGCUUUGGUGGAUACGGAUUGGCUCGCGUGACAUUAGCUGGAUGGUAAGGUAACGGCUUACCAUGGCUACGAUGUCUAGGGGUUCUGAGAGGAAGGUCCCCCCACACUGGAACUGAGACACGGUCCAGACUCCUACGGGAGGCAGCAGUGAGGAAUAUUGGACAAUGGAUGGAAAUCUGAUCCAGCCAUGCCGCGUGCAAGGAAGACGGCCCUAUGGGUUGUAAACUGCUUUUGUAUGGGAGCAAUAAGGGCUACGUGUAGUCCGAUGAGAGUACCAUACGAAUAAGCACCGGCUAACUCCGUGCCAGCCGCGGC
Molecule: ribosomal RNA, 509 nt
Filed under: uncultured bacterium
Lineage: Bacteria
Description: bacterial SSU rRNA
Rfam family: Bacterial small subunit ribosomal RNA
Source: RNAcentral